UGCGUAGGUGGUCUGAUAAGUUAUCUGUGAAAUCCCUGGGCUCAACCUGGGCAGGUCAGAUAAUACUGUUGGACUCGAGUAUAGGAGAGGGUAGUGGAAUUUCCGGUGUAGCGGUGAAAUGCGUAGAGAUCGGAAGGAACACCAGUGGCGAAGGCGGCUACCUGGCCUGAUACUGACACUGAGGCAAGCUGGGGAGCAAAC
RNAcentral lists this ribosomal RNA (201 nucleotides) under uncultured bacterium. RNAcentral's name for it is "partial 16S ribosomal RNA". It matches the Rfam family "Bacterial small subunit ribosomal RNA", at positions 568 to 773 of the family's 1533-position model. The record is from RNAcentral.